AAGGAUCAUUAUCGUGGGGCCCCAGGCCCCGUCGAGAUAGAACCCUUGCCCUUUUCGAGCACCCAAACCGUUUCCUCGGCAGGCUCGCCUGCCAGCGGGGACCCAAAACCAAACCCUUUGUGCACCUGGUACGUCUGAAACAAAGCAAAAAGUUUAAAACUUUCAACAACGGAUCUCUUGGUUCUG
This 186-nucleotide unclassified non-coding RNA is filed under the name uncultured fungus. Its description in RNAcentral is "partial contains 18S rRNA, ITS1, 5.8S rRNA, ITS2 and 28S rRNA". Lineage: Eukaryota; Fungi. The record is from RNAcentral.